Molecule: ribosomal RNA, 468 nt
Filed under: uncultured bacterium
Lineage: Bacteria
Description: partial 16S ribosomal RNA
Rfam family: Bacterial small subunit ribosomal RNA
Source: RNAcentral
GACGAACGCUGGCGGCGUGCUUAACACAUGCAAGUCGAACGGAAAGGCCCUGCUUUUGUGGGGUGCUCGAGUGGCGAACGGGUGAGUAACACGUGAGUAACCUGCCCUUGAUUUUGGGAUAACUUCAGGAAACUGGGGCUCAUACCGGAUAGGACCUCCUGCUGCAUGUUGGGGUUUGGAAAGUUUCGCCGGUUUGGGAUGGACUCGCGGCUUAUCAGCUUGUUGGUGGGGUAGUGGCGUACCAAGGCUUUGACGGGUAGCCGGCCUGCGAGGGUGACCGGCCACAGUGUGAUUGGGAUACGGCCCGGACUGCAACGGGAGGCAGCAGGGGGGAACAUUGCGAAAAGGGCGGAAGCAGUAUGCAGCAACGCCGGGUGCGGGAUGACGGCCUUCGGGUUGUAAACCGCUUGCGCCUGUGACGAAGCGUGAGUGACGGUAAUGGGUAAAGAAGCACCGGCUAACUACGUG